Molecule: ribosomal RNA, 440 nt
Filed under: uncultured bacterium
Lineage: Bacteria
Description: partial 16S ribosomal RNA
Rfam family: Bacterial small subunit ribosomal RNA
Source: RNAcentral
CCUACGGGAGGCAGCAGUGGGGAAUAUUGCACAAUGGGGGGAACCCUGAUGCAGCGACGCCGCGUGAGUGAAGAAGUAUUUCGGUAUGUAAAGCUCUAUCAGCAGGGAAGAAAAUGACGGUACCUGACUAAGAAGCCCCGGCUAACUACGUGCCAGCAGCCGCGGUAAUACGUAGGGGGCAAGCGUUAUCCGGAUGUACUGGGUGUAAAGGGAGCGCAGACGGCUGUGCAAGUCUGGAGUGAAAGGCGGGGGCCCAACCCGCGGACUGCUCUGGAAACUGUAAAGCUGGAGUGCAGGAGAGGUAAGCGGAAUUCCUAGUGUAGCGGUGAAAUGCGUAGAUAUUAGGAGGAACACCAGUGGCGAAGGCGGAUUACUGGACUGCAACUGACGUUGAGGCUCGAAAGCGUGGGGAGCAAACAGGAUUAGAUACCCUUGUAGUC